This is a non-coding RNA of Zootermopsis nevadensis, 148 nucleotides long. Lineage: Eukaryota; Metazoa; Arthropoda; Insecta; Blattodea; Termopsidae. The record is from RefSeq and is a predicted model, not a curated record.
AUAGAACAUCAAAUUUUGCAACCUGGUGUUAUUUGUGCUUCUAGUUUAGUGAGUUUUGAACAAACUUUCCCGUGUUUAUUAGUAAACACGACACAUGAGACACUCAUGAUAAAUAGAACACCUAGAGUGGUAAAACCACCUACACAAU